UUUCUUUCCAUCAGACUUUCCAGGAACAAAACAUAACCUUUAAGGUAAGCUAAAUGGUCAUGAAGAAAAUUAAACACAUUGAUUAUGCAUCUUGAGGCCAUUUCUUCUAGAGUUUCACAUCUCUUUGCUCUUUGACUGGAUGGAUCAAUUCAUGUAUCCUAGUCCCUUUGGCCUUUUUAGAAGUUGAAGAAAGAUGACGGAAGACAGUUUGGUUUAUGGAUGCUUCCUCUGUGAUGUUAGAAAAUGCAUUGAGACAGAUCAACCAAAAAGUACUAUGCAAAUGGUUCUAUGUAUCCUCAGUGCCUCUUCAAGAUCAUUGCAAGCUUACAACUCUUGGACAGAAUGAGAAAAUAACUUUAUUCUCUGGUACUCAACAGUAGAUGUUUAACAUUAUACAAGAGCUCCUUUGAUGUGCUGAUAUGAUGAAGUUGUAUUGCUAAUCUUCUCCUGCAGUUAUCCAGGAGUGGCGUGGAGUGACAUUUUUCAGGGUUCUACCAAAUUUUAAGCUUAUUUUGAAGGUUCUGAUUGUUUCCUGGAAAGUGAAAGGGAAAAGCAACAAAGGAGCCAGAAGUGGAAGAGAAGAAGAAUAGAAGGAAAAUAAGAUGCUGGGUUUUUCCUAACUUUUCUCACCCUUCAAACAAGAAAUGAGUAGUUUCAAAACCAUAUAAAUCUUGACCAAACUUGAACACAUCCAUGUGUUCAAAAAAUUACAAAAUAUUUAAAGUCAAAACGUUUAGUUAUGGAUUGUUUGAACCUUGGGUGCUAGGGUCAUCCCUCUACUCUACACCACCUAUAAACACCAAGGUCGUCCCUCUAAUCCACACCACUUGAAUACAAUAGUCUUAAUAGUCCGAUUAAUUAUGGUACCAAUUUAGGUCAAAAUUAGUAACUUGGUCAAACUCGAUAUUACUAUUUACCUUAAUAGUAUAUAAAAUAACAAUAUUUUAAGAUGA
Molecule: long non-coding RNA, 953 nt
Organism: Vitis vinifera (wine grape)
Lineage: Eukaryota; Viridiplantae; Streptophyta; Magnoliopsida; Vitales; Vitaceae
Exons: 3
Source: RefSeq, a predicted model, not a curated record